GGCGAGGUAGCAAAGAGGAUAUGCUGUGGUCUGCAAAACCGCACACGCAGGUUCGAUUCCUGCCCUCGCCU
This 71-nucleotide transfer RNA is filed under the name Massilia consociata. RNAcentral's name for it is "tRNA-Cys". It matches the Rfam family "tRNA". From Rfam's summary of the family: Transfer RNA (tRNA) molecules are approximately 80 nucleotides in length. Their secondary structure includes four short double-helical elements and three loops (D, anti-codon, and T loops). The record is from RNAcentral. RNAcentral also lists the same sequence under 1 other name. Lineage: Bacteria; Pseudomonadati; Pseudomonadota; Betaproteobacteria; Burkholderiales; Oxalobacteraceae.